Molecule: ribosomal RNA, 465 nt
Filed under: uncultured bacterium
Lineage: Bacteria
Description: partial 16S ribosomal RNA
Rfam family: Bacterial small subunit ribosomal RNA
Source: RNAcentral
GACGAACGCUGGCGGCGUGCUUAACACAUGCAAGUCGAACGGAAAGGCCCUGCUUGCCGGGUACUCGAGUGGCGAACGGGUGAGUAACACGUGGGUGAUCUGCCCUGCACUUCGGGAUAAGCCUGGGAAACUGGGUCUAAUACCGGAUAGUAGCCAUUUUUAGUGUGAUGGUUGGAAAGUUUUUUCGGUGUAGGGUGAGCUCGCGGCCUAUCAGCUUGUUGGUGGGGUAAUGGCCUACCAAGGCGGCGACGGGUAGCCGGCCUGAGAGGGUGGACGGCCACAUUGGGACUGAGAUACGGCCCAGACUGCGACGGGGGGCAGCAGUGGGGAAUAGUGCACAAUGGGCGCAAGCCUGAUGCAGCGACGCCGCGGGGGGGAGGACGGCCGUCGGGUUGUAAACUCCUUUCGCUAGGGACGAAGCGUUUUGUGACGGUACCUAGAGAAGAAGCACCGGCUAACUACGUG